UGCCAGCCGCCGCGGUAACACGGGGGGCGCAAGCGUUGUUCGGAAUUACUGGGCGUAAAGCGCACGUAGGCGGACUUUUAAGUCAGAUGUGAAAUCCCAAGGCUCAACCCUGGACGUGCAUUUGAAACAGCAAGACUUGAAUACUGGAGAGGAAAGCGGAAUUCCUGGUGUAGAGGUGAAAUUCGUAGAUAUCAGGAGGAACACCGAUGGCGAAGGCAGCUUUCUGGACAGAUAUUGACGCUGAGGCGCGAAGGCGUGGGUAGCGAACGGGAUUAGAUA
RNAcentral lists this ribosomal RNA (279 nucleotides) under uncultured bacterium. RNAcentral's name for it is "partial 16S ribosomal RNA". It matches the Rfam family "Bacterial small subunit ribosomal RNA", at positions 506 to 784 of the family's 1533-position model. The record is from RNAcentral.